CGGAUGCAACAGUGGUGAGACAGGGAGACAGUGGAGCAUAUCUGGCAUCACUUUAUCUGCCUUUCGACUCCGACACCGCCACCAACGUCGGAGCUGCAACGGCUGGUGAGAAAAGCAAAACAGACAGGAAACGAGGUGUUAAUAGGGUGCGAUGCGAACUCUCACCACAUUUCGUGGGGUAGCACCAACACUAAUAAGCGGGCCCAAGCCCUGGCAUGUGACGAUGUAUUCCGAAAAUCUGAUCGAAUCGAAAAUCUGAAACGGGAGACAUAGGACCACGAGCUCACUUAUGUAAAAUCGGUGCGGCAAGUGAUAGCAUGUGUAGGGCAUGCAGGGAAGAUGAUGAGACGUUGGAGCAUUUCCUUUGUCAUUGCCCGGCUUUCGCGUCCAACAGCUAGCAGUACUUAGGUGGAGACACAAUAUCAGACAUGAACCAACUCAAGGAAGUGGCAUUAAAAACAAUUAAGGAUUUUUUUUUAGAGCUCACAACAAGCCGAUUACUGGUUUAGGUGUAUGUCCAUAGUGGCAUGGGGCGGAUUAAUGUCUGCACACUCUUUUCAAUCUAACCUAAUCUAAGUUGAAGGUCACGGAUUUUGGAAGAACACAUAACAGAACACUGCGUGCAAAAUUCAGCCAAAUAGGAGAACAAUUGCCGCAUCGAGGGGCUCAAGAUGUCAAAACAGGAGAUCGUUUCGUAUGAGAGCUAUACCCAAGUCGAACCGAUAUGGUCCAUUGGCAAUCCUCAAAGACCUACAUCAAGAAUAAGUAUAUGUGCAAAACUUCAACCGCAUAUCGUUAUUCGUUCGACGGCUAUCGUGAUUUCGUCAAACGGUCGGACGAACGAACAUAGCUAGAUCGACUUUGAAUGUCAAGACGGUUCAGCAUAUAUAUACUUUAUGAGGAUCUGAAGGCCGAAUCUGAUAUCUUGAUUCCGCAGUCCAAAAACCUCAAAUCUUGUCUGUUUGAAUGUUAUGUCGAUUGGAUAAUAUGGGACACAAAUGAAUGGUUUAGGAAUGUAGAUUACCAAUUUGAUAAUAAUUUAUGAGCAGCCGCCCACCCUCAAAAAUCCCCCAAAUGGACAUAUAGACAACCCAGGGCGAUAUUGGUGUCAACAAUACCAAUUCCUUUAAUAUAUAAAAAUUAAUUUGCUAUGUGCUCGGUAUAGAUUCAAAAGCGGCAAAAAAUUAAUAUCCAAGGCAAAUAUAAUGGAAUGAAAUAAACAAACAAAUCUUGCAUUGAGUUCGGCUGGGCCGCACCUUAUAUACUCUCCAUCAAUGAUGGCAUUAGUCAAGCUCUUCAAAUGGCUUUUUUUUUUUAAAAAAAGACA
This is a long non-coding RNA of Stomoxys calcitrans (stable fly), 1327 nucleotides long. RefSeq lists it as uncharacterized. Lineage: Eukaryota; Metazoa; Arthropoda; Insecta; Diptera; Muscidae. The record is from RefSeq and is a predicted model, not a curated record. The transcript is spliced from 3 exons.